AGACCCGAAACCCGGUGAUCUAGCCAUGGGCAGGUUGAAGGUUGGGUAACACUAACUGGAGGACCGAACCGACUAAUGUUGAAAAAUUAGCGGAUGACCUGUGGCUGGGGGUGAAAGGCCAAUCAAACCGGGAGAUAGCUGGUUCUCCCCGAAAGCUAUUUAGGUAGCGCCUCGUGAAUUCAUCUCCGGGGGUAGAGCACUGUUUCGGCUAGGGGGCCAUCCCGGCUUACCAACCCGAUGCAAACUGCGAAUACCGGAGAAUGUUAUCACGGGAGACACACGGCGGGUGCUAACGUCCGUCGUGAAGAGGGAAACAACCCAGACCGCCAGCUAAGGUCCCAAAGUCAUGGUUAAGUGGGAAACGAUGUGGGAAGGCCCAGACAGCCAGGAUGUUGGCUUAGAAGCAGCCAUCAUUUAAAGAAAGCGUAAUAGCUCACUGGUCGAGUCGGCCUGCGCGGAAGAUGUAACGGGGCUAAACCAUGCACCGAAGCUGCGGCAGCGACGCUGAUGCGUUGUUGGGUAGGGGAGCGUUCUGUAAGCCUGC
RNAcentral lists this ribosomal RNA (544 nucleotides) under Salmonella enterica. Its description in RNAcentral is "partial 23S ribosomal RNA". It matches the Rfam family "Bacterial large subunit ribosomal RNA", at positions 711 to 1252 of the family's 2925-position model. The record is from RNAcentral. Lineage: Bacteria; Pseudomonadati; Pseudomonadota; Gammaproteobacteria; Enterobacterales; Enterobacteriaceae.